This 253-nucleotide ribosomal RNA is filed under the name uncultured bacterium. Its description in RNAcentral is "partial 16S ribosomal RNA". It matches the Rfam family "Bacterial small subunit ribosomal RNA", at positions 524 to 776 of the family's 1533-position model. The record is from RNAcentral.
GCCAGAGGAGGCAAUCGUUAUCCGGAAUUAUUGGGCGUAAAGCGUUCGUAGGUGGUUUGACAAGUCUGGGGUUAAAGCCCGGAGCCCAACUCCGGAUCGGCCCUGGAAACUGUCAGACUUGAGUAAGGUAGGGGUUGCGGGAAUUCCCGGUGUAGCGGUGAAAUGCGUAGAUAUCGGGAAGAACACCAGCGGCGAAAGCGCGCAACUGGGCCAUUACUGACACUGAGGGACGAAAGCUAGGGGAGCGAAUGGG